UGGGGAAUUUUGGACAAUGGGCGCAAGCGUGAUCCAGCAAUGCCGCGUGCAGGAAGAAGGCCUUCGGGUUGUAAAAUGCUUUUGUCAGGGAAGAAAUCUUCUGGGUUAAUACCUCGGGGGGAUGACGGUACACGAAGAAUAAGCACCGGGUAAAUACGUGCCAGCAGCCGCGGUAAUAUGUAGGGUGCGAGCGUUAAUAUGAAUUAUUGGGGGUAAAGCGUGCGCAGGGGGCUUUGCAAGACAGAUGUGAAAUCUCCGGGCUCAACCUGGGAAAUGCAUUUGUGACUGCAAGGCUAGAGUACGGCAGAGGGGGAUGGAAUUCCGCGUGUAGCAGCGAAAUGCGUAGAUAUGCGGAGGAACACCGAUGGCGA
This 371-nucleotide ribosomal RNA is filed under the name uncultured bacterium. RNAcentral describes it as "bacterial SSU rRNA". It matches the Rfam family "Bacterial small subunit ribosomal RNA", at positions 355 to 718 of the family's 1533-position model. The record is from RNAcentral.